Molecule: long non-coding RNA, 570 nt
Filed under: Mus musculus (house mouse)
Lineage: Eukaryota; Metazoa; Chordata; Mammalia; Rodentia; Muridae
Description: long non-coding RNA chrX:155477095-155477665
Source: RNAcentral
UGUAUAAAUCUCUGUGAGAUAGGACGAUAUGCAUGUGUCUGUCCUGACGAGUAUUCUAUUGUGAACUGUGAGUUGGAAAUUGAUGAAUGUGGAACCCAGCCGAGUCUACAUCAUGCCACAUUUCAGGAUGCUCUUGGGGCUUACUCUGAGACUACACACCUGGAUUCCUUGAAGACUACUGUGAUUUCAACAUUGAUGAAUGUGCCAGUCAGCCAUGUCUCCAUGGAGGACUAUGCAUGAAUGGAGGAAACAACUACUACUGUAACUUACACAGGUGGUGGAUUCACAGGGACACACUGAGAGACUUUGUUGUCUCAUUGUUGGUCAAUGAGACAAGUCUUAUCACAAUGGUACAACAAGUAAAGACACUGUUGCCAGCUAUAUUUGUUAUUGCUGCCCUUGACACAGAUGGACACAAAUGAAUAAAGUAGCAACCCCUGUCAAUUUUGGGGGUGGGGGAAAUGUGCUGAGCUGUCAUCAGAGGAUCAAUAGGUACUCAUUGCUGGCCUGCCUUCCUCCUUCACCUACCUUGGAGCUUCAGGCUAUGUUUAUAUCUGUCAGCCUAGAUUC